Molecule: non-coding RNA, 205 nt
Organism: Pelobates cultripes (western spadefoot toad)
Lineage: Eukaryota; Metazoa; Chordata; Amphibia; Anura; Pelobatidae
Source: the annotation of a GenBank genome assembly
GGGAAGUAGGAGGGAGAAGUAUGGAGGGUACAGGGAGGGGUUGGUCAUGAGUUAUAGAAUUGGUAAGGUGUAUUCAUUAAUGGAUGGAUGUUUGAAAAAGGAUGCUGCCUUCUUGAUAUUAUACAUGAGUGUGAAUGAAGGAUAUAAGCAGAGGUAGUGGCAGUAAUGAAUAGGGAGGGGGUAGUACACAGUGGUGGUAUAGGAG